Non-coding RNA from Picea glauca (white spruce), 1813 nucleotides. The record is from Rfam. Lineage: Eukaryota; Viridiplantae; Streptophyta; Pinopsida; Pinales; Pinaceae.
UACCUGGUUGAUCCUACCAGUAGUCAUAUGCGUGUCUCGAAGAUUAAGCCAUGCAUGUCUAAGUAUGAACUAAUUCAAACUAUGAAACUGCGGAUGGCUCAUUAAAUCAGUUAUAUUUUCUUUGAUGGUACCCUACUACUCGGAUAACCGUAGUAAUUAUAGAUUUAAUACAUGCACCAAGUUCCAACUCUUUGGAAGGGGUGCAUUUAUUAGAUAAAAGGCUAGCGUGGGCUUUCUUGCUUCUCCGGUGAAUCAUGAUAAAUUGACGGAUCGCACAGCCCUUGUGUUGGCGAUGCUUCAUUCAAAUUUCUUCCCUAUCAACUUUCUAUGGUAGGAUAGAGGCCUACCAUGGUGAUGACGGGUAACAUAGAAUUAGGGUUUGAUUCCGGAGAGGGAGCCUGAGAAAUGGAUACCACAUCCAAGGAAGGCAGUAGGCGUGCAAAUUACCCCAUUCUAACAUGGGCAGGUAGUGACAAUAAAUAAAAAUACUAGGUUCAUCGAGUAUGUUAAUUGGAAUGAGUACAAUCUAAAUCCCUUAACAAGGAUCCAUUGGAGGGAAAGUCUAGUGCCAGCAGCUACGGUAAUUCCAAUUCCAAUAGCAUAUAUUUAGGUUGUUGCAGUUAAAAAUAUCGUAGUUGGAUCUUGGGUCAUAAAGGUCAGUCCACCUACUCAGUGUGCACCUAUCCUUAUGUCCCUUUUGUCGGCGGCAUGCUUCUGGCCUUAAUUGGCUAGGUCGCAGUUACGACGUUGUUACUUUGAAAAAAUUAGAGUGCUCAAAGCAAACUUAUGCUAUGAAUACAUUUUCAUGGAAUAAUGUGAUAUGAGUCUGGUCUUAUUGUGUUGGCCUUCAGGACCAGAGUAAUAAUUAAUAGGGACUGUCGGGGGCAUUCAUAUUUCAUUGUCAGAGGUGAAAUUAUUGGAUUUAUGAAAUAUGAACCACUGUGAAAUCAUUUGCCAAGGAUGUUUUCAUUAAUCAAGAAUGAAAGUUUAGGGCUCGAAGACGAUUGGAUACCAUCCUAGUCUCAACCAUAAACGAUGUCAACCAAGGAUCGGUGGAUGUUUCUCUAAGGACUCCAUCGACACCUUCUGAGAAAUCAAAGUGUUUGGGUUUCAGGGGCAGUAUGGUCGCAAGGCUAAAACUUAAAGGAAUUGACAGAAGGGAACCACCAGGAGUGGAUCCUGUGGCUUAAUUUGAAUCAACAUGGGAAAACUUACCAGGUCUAGACAUAGUAAAUAUUGACAAAUUUAGAGCAUUUUCUUGAUUCUAUGGUUGGUGGUGCAUGGUCGUUCUUAGUUGGUGGAGCGAUUUUUCUGGUUAAUUUUGAUAACGAACAAGACCUUAGCCUGCUAACUAGCUACGUGGAGGUUCCCCUUCACGGCCAUCUUCUUAGAGGGACUAUGGCCAUUUAGGCCAUGGAAGUUUGAGGAAAUAAUACAUCUGUGAUGCCCUUAGAUGUUUUGGGCUGCACGCAUGCUAAGCUGAUGUAGUCAACGAGUGUUUCUCCCUGGUUCGAGAGGAUCGAGAAAUCUUCUCAAAUUGCAUCAUGAUGGGGAUAGACCAUUGAAAGUAUUGGUCUUCAACAAAGAAUUCCUAGUAAACGUGUGUCAUCAUCUCAUGUUGACUACAUCCCUACCCUUUGUACACACCACCCAUCGCUCCUACCAAUUGAAUGAUCAAGGGAAUUUUUCGGAUCACAUCAACGAGGGUGGUUCGUCGCCGAUGAUAUCAUGAGAAGUUCACUGAACCUUAUCAUUUAGAGGAAGGAGAAGUCGUAACAAGGUUACUAUAGGUGAACCUAUGGUAGGAUCAUUG